CGGGUGAGUAACACGUAUCCAACCUGCCGACAACACUGGGAUAGCCUUUCGAAAGAAAGAUUAAUACCGGAUGGCAUAGUUUUCCCGCAUGGGAUGAUUAUUAAAGAAUUUCGGUUGUCGAUGGGGAUGCGUUCCAUUAGGCAGUUGGCGGGGUAACGGCCCACCAAACCAACGAUGGAUAGGGGUUCUGAGAGGAAGGUCCCCCACAUUGGAACUGAGACACGGUCCAAACUCCUACGGGAGGCAGCAGUGAGGAAUAUUGGUCAAUGGACGAGAGUCUGAACCAGCCAAGUAGCGUGAAGGAUGACUGCCCUAUGGGUUGUAAACUUCUUUUAUACGGGAAUAAAGUGAGCCACGUGUGGCUUUUUGUAUGUACCGUAUGAAUAAGGAUCGGCUAACUCCGUGCCAGCAGCCGCGGUAAUACGGAGGAUCCGAGCGUUAUCCGGAUUUAUUGGGUUUAAAGGGAGCGUAGGCGGGUUGUUAAGUCAGUUGUGAAAGUUUGCGGCUCAACCGUAAAAUUGCAGUUGAUACUGGCGACCUUGAGUGCAACAGAGGUAGGCGGAAUUCGUGGUGUAACGGUGAAAAUGCUAGAUAUCACGAAGAACUCCGAU
This 611-nucleotide ribosomal RNA is filed under the name uncultured Bacteroidales bacterium. RNAcentral describes it as "bacterial SSU rRNA". It matches the Rfam family "Bacterial small subunit ribosomal RNA", at positions 103 to 713 of the family's 1533-position model. Lineage: Bacteria; Pseudomonadati; Bacteroidota; Bacteroidia; Bacteroidales. The record is from RNAcentral.